GGCCCUGCAGCCUCGUCAGGCUCAGUCCCCUCCCGAUAAACCCCUAAAUAGGGACCUUCCCGGGGGGCUGCCCGGGAUUUCUCCGCAGAAACCCCCAGUUUAAGAAGGCCUCUCCCCUACCCUGAGGUUGUGGAGGCGGUUGGGACCUCAAAGCGGAGAAUUGGGGGAGCUUGUGGGGCAGAACCGAGGAAAAACCUGCCGAACGGGAUUUAAUAGAAUUAAGCUCUUUUGGGGGCCAAGCGAUGUGCACGGGAUUUCAUUGAAAGACUCGGUCGCUUCGGCUUUCCGCCCCCCGCCCACGUGACAGUCCUACUUAUUUUUAAAAAUUAAAUGGCGCAUGUUUCACAGCGUCCUUAAUUACGACUAGUGCAGCCUAGUGGCGAGAGGAGGAGAAAACCUGCCGCCCGGGCUCCCUGCGAAGUCCUCGGUUGCUUUCUAGCAGUUUCGACCCAGCUGGCACAGAUAAAGCGCGUGCAAAGACUUAACGCUGGAUACUGUCACCAACAAUUAAAGAGGGCCGUGGCGACCUCAGUUAAAAAGUCGUGUUUUUAAAAGCCCUGAUCCAGAGCUCGUUACAAAUGAAUACAACGUUUCCAUUGACAGUGGACAAAAAAGGAGACCCUACAGUUACAAAAGCUUUGUGAAACUAACAGCACUUUUUUGUUUUAGCUGGAUAAACAUGCUGUGGGUGUGUUUUUUCAGUGGCACCUCACGAUUUUUCACUUGAUGUGAUUUUUUUUUUUUUAAAGACUCAUCAGGCCAACGUGGUGAUUUCUAAAACUGCCAGCUGCUCGCUAUUUCCUGUUGCAAAUUAGGAGAAAAACAAAGCACGUAUUAUCUGAACCUAGGCACAGUUGAGAAUGUGCUAGCAGAAUAUUACUCAAAACAUUCUACUUUUAAGUUUGCCCAGAAACAAAUUAACUUUACAAAAGAAUCAAGUCAUAUCUCAAAGCUGCAAAGAAAAAAAACUCAAGCAAACCUGCCCCCACGUUUGGCAGUGAAGGAGCUGAAAUGAACCAGGGAGAGUGUGAGAGAGAGGGAGAGAGAAUCCUUCAAUAUUUAUUUUCUAGUUUUCGGCGGACACAACAUCCUUGUUUGUAUGUGGUGCUGAGGAUCGAACCCGGGUCGCAUGCACGCCAGGCAAGCACUCCAUCGCUUGAGCCACUUCCCCAGCCCCCUGAAUAAAACU
Molecule: long non-coding RNA, 1189 nt
Organism: Marmota monax (woodchuck)
Lineage: Eukaryota; Metazoa; Chordata; Mammalia; Rodentia; Sciuridae
Exons: 3
Source: RefSeq, a predicted model, not a curated record